GGGGCUAUAGCUCAGCUGGGAGAGCGCACCGUUCGCAACGGUGAGGUCGACGGUUCGAUCCCGUCUAGCUCCACCA
This 76-nucleotide transfer RNA is filed under the name Acidobacteriaceae bacterium. Its description in RNAcentral is "tRNA-Ala". It matches the Rfam family "tRNA". Rfam says of the family: Transfer RNA (tRNA) molecules are approximately 80 nucleotides in length. Their secondary structure includes four short double-helical elements and three loops (D, anti-codon, and T loops). The record is from RNAcentral. Lineage: Bacteria; Pseudomonadati; Acidobacteriota; Terriglobia; Terriglobales; Acidobacteriaceae. RNAcentral also lists the same sequence under 1 other name.